CAAAGUAUUACACAUUAAGCCUCAAGAUUCUUAUCUGAAUCUUCCUUUGAAGGGUGUUGUUGAGUUGCUUGGCAUAAAAGAGCCUACUAAAUGUGUUGUUGUCGGUAAGAUAACAAGGAUCAUUACCGAUAAAGGAUGGAACUACUUAGCAUGUCGUAAGUGCCAUAAGAAGGUCGUCAAAUUGGAAAAAACUGAUUCAGAGAAGAACACUAAAGUCUACUAUGAUUGUGAAAACUGUAAAAUUGUUCUGGAUGUUUAUCGCAAAAUCAAGCUGCAAGUCCUGGUCGAAGACAAAUCUGGAAGUGGCCCAAUAUGGAUUUUUGAAAACGUUGUGACCAAACUGGUUAAUCGAUCCGCCUCAUACCUGAUAAACAAAAUUAAACCGGGACACACCCAUCAUAUAUACCCAGAUGAAUUUAACACAAUACUCGACAAAACGUAUGCCAUCAAAGUUGAAGUUAC
Long non-coding RNA from Erigeron canadensis, 462 nucleotides. RefSeq lists it as uncharacterized. The record is from RefSeq and is a predicted model, not a curated record. Lineage: Eukaryota; Viridiplantae; Streptophyta; Magnoliopsida; Asterales; Asteraceae. The transcript is spliced from 4 exons.